RNAcentral lists this transfer RNA (73 nucleotides) under Candidatus Woesearchaeota archaeon. RNAcentral's name for it is "tRNA-Tyr". It matches the Rfam family "tRNA". From Rfam's summary of the family: Transfer RNA (tRNA) molecules are approximately 80 nucleotides in length. Their secondary structure includes four short double-helical elements and three loops (D, anti-codon, and T loops). Lineage: Archaea; Nanobdellati; Candidatus Woesearchaeota. The record is from RNAcentral.
CCCCGCGUAGUUUAGUGGCUAGAACGCUUGGCUGUAGACCGAGAGAUCCCCGGUUCGAGUCCGGGCGCGGGGA